RNAcentral lists this ribosomal RNA (497 nucleotides) under uncultured bacterium. RNAcentral describes it as "partial 16S ribosomal RNA". It matches the Rfam family "Bacterial small subunit ribosomal RNA", at positions 28 to 507 of the family's 1533-position model. The record is from RNAcentral.
GAUGAACGCUGGCGGCGUGCCUAAUACAUGCAAGUAGAACGCUGAAGGAAGGAGCUUGCUCUUUCCGGAUGAGUUGCGAACGGGUGAGUAACGCGUAGGUAACCUGCCUGGUAGCGGGGGAUAACUAUUGGAAACGAUAGCUAAUACCGCAUAACAGUAGAUAUUGCAUGAUAUCUGCUUGAAAGGGGCAAUUGCUCCACUACCAGAUGGACCUGCGUUGUAUUAGCUAGUUGGUGAGGUAACGGCUCACCAAGGCGACGAUACAUAGCCGACCUGAGAGGGUGAGCGGCCACACUGGGACUGAGACACGGCCCAGACUCCUACGGGAGGCAGCAGUAGGGAAACUUCGGCAAUGGACGGAAGACUGACCGAGCAACGCCGCGGGAGUGAAGAAGGUUUUCGGAUCGGAAAGCUCUGUUGUAAGAGAAGAACGAGUGUGAGAGUGGAAAGUUCACACUGUGACGGUAUCUUACCAGAAAGGGACGGCUAACUACGUG